UCAAAAUAUUCUAACAAGUCUUCCUUUCUGGUCCAGAUUAUCAUUUCAGUGAAGUGGAAGAAUUUAAUAGAAAGAUUGACAAACAAUUGAGGAAAGAAGAGAGAUCAUUCAAUUGAGUUGAAGCCUACAGCCAUUCUAUCCAUGCAGCAACUGAUGGAAAAGGGGUUCGCUUUGGUGCUGUUGUGAUGUUGUCGCAAAAAUGACAUGUGUGUGUAUGUAUAUAUAUAUAUAUAUAUAUAUAUAUAUAUAUUA
Cyprinus carpio (common carp) is the source of this 252-nucleotide long non-coding RNA. RefSeq lists it as uncharacterized. The record is from RefSeq and is a predicted model, not a curated record. Lineage: Eukaryota; Metazoa; Chordata; Actinopteri; Cypriniformes; Cyprinidae. The transcript has 3 exons.